GCCUUGGUGAUUAUCCCAGCCAUGUAAAAUAUAACUGAAAUUCAAUUGGCUGAUUCCUGACAUCGUCAUCUAAAAUAAUCCAUCCCUUUUUCGUGUUUGGACAGUAUAUAAACAGACAGAAUUUCAUCUUUCCCGUGGCACUCAGUAACAUCAUUCUUACGGCUACGUGGAUCGAAAGUGGGUGGGAAUCUGCCACGAUUGACAUUUGUUCAAUGGCAGCUGCUGACGGUGUGGAGAGACUCACACGGUUUGAAUAAAAUGGCCCGAGAGAGUCACCUGUUGAUCCUGUCGUGAUAUGGUGGCAAGUUAUUUCAGCCGGAAGACUGAAUGGCGAAUGUCACACGUGCUGUUGGGCGUCUUUCAGCACUGAAGAAGAGAACAGCUCCCACGGUGUGCCCUCAAGUCUUGUCGAUGGAAGAUGGACAUCACAGCCAGGGGGUUUGGGGAUGAUCAGCACUGAUGGAUUUGGCCUAAAUGAAUGGGGACCUGGGGGAAGAAACAUGGAGACAUUUUGAAGAGGGAUUGACCUGCUCUGAGUGCUGGGUGGAAGACUAGUGAUUUUGUUGUGAAAUUGAACAGACACUAACAACAAAACCCAGUCUGCCUCCCAGCACAGGGUACGGGGCUGCAGUGUCUUUUUUCACAUCUGGAUUUGAGCAGAAGGAUAGCCCACAUGCCUUGAUCAUCUUUAGCAAGAUGUAAGAAUUCUAUAAUAAAAUGAAUAUACUUGGUCCAUUUUUUUUUAUUCAGAUUUAUUAUAAUAAUAUCUACAAAAGUAUGUUUUUGUGAUAUGCCUUCAUGUUUUCAAUAACUGAUCAAUAAAAAAACACUACUUAUUGUUCUUACUUUCUAUGGAACAUAGAGCUGGUUUGUUUUUGGUAUAGGUGUAAGGUUGUGGGCUAGAGAGAUCUUUGUACAUGCACCUUAAUAUUGGCUCAAGGAAUUACAGUCCGCCCCAGUAGGCAGGCUACUAGGCUAUAGCUUGCUAUUAUAAGCUGUUCCAGCUCAGUGGGCAGUAGACUACCAGGAAAUUUAGCCUAACACCCCAAGGUAAAAUUCUACAUAUUUCACCAUUUAUCAUGCUUCUGGUUUCAAAGAGAACACAAACUAGUUAAUUAGCCCUACACUUGUUCGUUGAGAAACAAUCACAAUGAAAACAAGGCAAGGGUUAGGAUUGACGGUAAAGUAGUGUAAUGUAAUGUAAAAGCCCUGAGGUGGAGAGUUUCAGUAGUGUGUUUUUUUCAUUGACAUACACGAACACACUAUUUCACACAUAUCUUUAAAUUAACUCGUGGGAUGCAAUACAGUAAAUCAAUUAAACUGUACUGCAACCAUUUCACAAACCAUCUCCUAGACAGUGGGGAAAGUUAGCCUAACUGGUUGUUAGUUUAGUCUCGUCGGCUGACCGACUCAAAUUACGAUGUGCGAAAACAGCACGAUAGGCCUACAUGAAAAAACACUUUGAUUAGGCUACACACCAGGCACUACAAACAGCUCCCAUGCACGAUGAAGAACUCAUACCUGAAAUUCUGAGUUUCAGUAAGUAUUGGCUUUUCCAAUGACACAUGAACUCACCAUUUCCUUUAGGCAUAUCUUCUUAUCAACUUGUGUGUGUAGAAACCUAGCUGAAGAACUGUACGCUAAAUUGAACUUGAGUGAUAACUGAAAUUGAACGUGAAAGCCUG
Long non-coding RNA from Clupea harengus (Atlantic herring), 1685 nucleotides. The record is from Ensembl. Lineage: Eukaryota; Metazoa; Chordata; Actinopteri; Clupeiformes; Clupeidae.